UCCAUUUGAACGUUCGAGAUGACGCUUUCCCUUCGGGGACAAAGUGACAGGUGGUGCAUGGUUGUCGUCAGCUCGUGUCGUGAGAUGUUGGGUUAAGUCCCGCAACGAGCGCAACCCUUAUUACUAGUUGCCAGCAUUCAGUUGGGCACUCUAGUGAGACUGCCGGUGACAAACCGGAGGAAGGUGGGGAUGACGUCAAAUCAUCAUGCCCCUUAUGACCUGGGCUACACACGUGCUACAAUGGCAAGUACAACGAGCAGCUAACCCGCGAGGGUACGCGAAUCUCUUAAAACUUGUCUCAGUUCGGAUUGUAGGCUGCAACUCGCCUACAUGAAGUCGGAAUCGCUAGUAAUCGCGGAUCAGCACGCCGCGGUGAAUACGUUCCCGGGUCUGUAACACACCG
RNAcentral lists this ribosomal RNA (403 nucleotides) under Weissella viridescens. RNAcentral describes it as "bacterial SSU rRNA". It matches the Rfam family "Bacterial small subunit ribosomal RNA", at positions 987 to 1392 of the family's 1533-position model. The record is from RNAcentral. Lineage: Bacteria; Bacillati; Bacillota; Bacilli; Lactobacillales; Lactobacillaceae.